CACCUCCAUUCCCAUAUUCCCUCCCAUAGCCCAAUUUUUAGCAAAAGAAAAUAUAGAUCGAAAGAAGAAGGAAAGAAAGGAAGGAAGAAGUAAAUGAAACCAAGAAAGGUAAUCAUUUGAUUUUCAAUUAUAGAUGUUAAUUUCAUGGAUUUUAUGUAUAGAUGUUAUGUUUAUACUUGUUUUAGAUGAUUUAAACAAGUAUUAAACAAAUGAAAAUAAGAAAUUUAAAAGAGAUUAAACUUUGCUAGAAUUUCAUCGAAAAAGAUAGAUCUAACGUUGAUUGGUGGUUUGUUUUCAAAUCUAAGACCAUGGUUAGACUCCUAAAAUAUAGUAGAUCUGAUCUAGGCAAGAAAAUUUGAGAAAACUCGCCGGAAAAGUUUUGGAUCGCCGGAGAAGAUGACCGAAAAAUAUUUUCCGGUGAACUUUUUUUAAUAAGACUAUUUCUCUAUGUUAGAGACGGAAUUUGGAAAAAGUUUCUUUUACAAAGUUGUAGAGAAUUAAAUUUCACAUGAAAAAGACAUAAGAUCCAUAAUAUUAUGAUAAAGGGCUAAUUAUUAUGAAUUAUUAAAGAUUCUGUAUAUUGGAAUUUAUAAUUAAAUUAUCAGAAAAAAUAUUUGGGCUGAAAUAUUUUUACAAAAAUCUUAUAAUAUCAAUUUAGAAUUUCUAUAAAUUUUUGAUGAAUUAUUGAAAAGCAUAAGUAAUUAUUGUAUUUUAAAACUAUUUAUAGUUAGUUUGAAAAUAGAAGAAAUUCAUAGAAAAUUCUAUGAAUGGUGAAAAAUUAUGAAAUUUGAUGAAAAAUAUUAUAAUAAUAUAAUAUUAAUAUUGAUGAUGUUUUUAAGUUAUAAAAGUAUGUGGAGUUAGUAUUUCUAUUUUAAAACUAUUAAAUGAUAGUUUUUAUAAAUAGAAAUAAUUGUAGAAAAUUGUCGGAUAAUCCAAAAAAUAUGAUAAUUGGUUGAAAAGUCCAGAAUAAUAUUCUAAAAACUUUAGAAUGUUUAGUAAGCUCAUGAGGUAUUGGGAUGUAAACACACAAAUAACGAAUGAAUUAUGAUAAAAACAAAAAUGUUUUUGUUAAAGUAAAAAUGGUGAUAAUACCAGAAUAGUGGAUUGAUGUUUUAAAAAUAAAUUAUCAUAUAUGAGGUUUUAGAUUUCUCAAGUUUUAUUAUUCACUUCUAAUGUUUUGGAAUAUUAAUAAUGAUUUUAUGCGAUAAAUAAAGGCACCUUGAAUGAAUUAUGAAUUAUUAGUUGGUUUAUAUGUUAUUCGAGGUAAAUAUGUUUUGGUGUUGACCCCGACUUUUAAUAGAAUUUGAAUUGUUUAUAGUAAGGUGUUGAUUUGAUAUAAUGCUAUAGUUAUGGGUGAUAUGUACAAAUUUUGCAAAGUAAAAAAAUUGUCAUAAAAUAUUCGUUUGGUCGGAGAAUAUUCUUUUUGUCUGGGAAUAUUCGUAUGACGGCGCCAAAUUAACCAAUCAUUGUGGGCCCUAUAACAGAAUAACUGUCAGAUAAGGAAAGCGACGGAAAUAACAUUUUUAAAAUUUGAUGGAAAAACUUUUACCGUUAACUAUUGAAAUACCGGUGAUAAAAAUACAGUAAUACGUGUGAUUCCACAGUAGUACACCGUAUUUCUCAGUAGCGCACGGUAUUGUACAGUUAUUCAUAUGAUUAAUUCUUACGUAAGAAGUCACUCAGUAUUAUUCAAUAAUUACCACAGUAGUUAUUGCACAGUAACUCAUAUUAUUUGAUAUGAUAUAAUUAGACCAGUUGGCAGUAUUGUGAGUCUAUAUUAAUAAUUGUGAAUAAUGGUUCAAAGAUUGAAAAGGGUGUGAAUUAAAGAUAAGUAUGAUAUGCAGAUGUUUGUUCAAUUAUUUUAUUUUUACGAAAGUAAGUUUGGUAGGACUUGCCGACACUCUACUUUUCCUAAAUUAGUAUGGACAAUAACUCUAUUAUUGAACAAAUUUUGUUAAAACGUGAUCAAAUAUGUUUAAUUUUCUCCGUGGGACCAUAAAUUUCACUACCAGCAUUAUUAUAUACCUCAUUUGGUUAUUUUGUCAAAAGGGGUUGUCUCAAUAAUUUUCAGUAUAAAUAGGUUGCUCGGUUGAGCAACUAAAGACACAUCAUCACUGAACUAAAAAUAUAAAUUCUUUUACUACAAUAUUUCAAGUAUUUCUGUUGAGUGUAAGGUUACUCCAAAUGUAGAUAAGGAAUGCAAGCAUUGUUUAAGUUGAUCAAUUUCACAGAAAGAAAAAUCAAGUCACAUGCUAAGGUAAAAAUAGGUGGUGAAAGUUCUCUUUGUCUUGGGUGCAACGAAGAACUGUUGAUUAGUGUUAUAGAAAUAAAAUAUUGAUGAUGGACUUUUAAUUUAGAGAAGAUAGUAAACAUUAUGUGCUACUUAACUCUUCUAAUGAAUUGUUGAUUCCCCUGCAAUUAUGGUAAUAAGAGUGUAGCUAGGUCGAACGGGGAUAACAAGGGAUUAGAGUGAUGGUCUGUGACUGUUGAAACUUCUUAAUACAUUAUAAAACAACAUGACAAUAUAUAAUUGCAUUGAGAACUUAAAAUGUGGGUGUCGUAUUUUAUACAUCAUUUAAUAUUUAAUUUUGGUGAACCAAAUAUGUUGAUGUGAACUCGAAUUUAGAAGCGUAAAAAAAAAAUGCACUCCAUUAGAAUGAGGAGGACAUAAAUUUUCUCAUAUUCCUUUGAGGACUUGAAAUAUUUGCUGCUGUAUUUUAUAUGGCAUUGCAAUAAUUUGAGUAUGAACAUUGUUGUAUUAUAUACAUUACAAUAUUUGUAUUAAAAUUCACAGUAUAUGUGUCGUCGUAUUUUCCACGACAGUUCAAUUGUUGUAAUAAGAAAUUUUGCGUCAGUAGUGUUGUUUUUGACGACUCAAAAUGGGUUGUGUGGACCUAUUUUUGGGGCGUCACAAAAUGAGCAUAUAUGGUUGAGCCUAUUUCUGUUCCAUCAUCAUUACUGCUACUAAUUACCUACUGGGUUCACCCCCUUCUCCCAGUCAAGCUACUUGACUCCUACUCAGCCUCUGACAUAGCUUUAUUUGACUUUUACAGAGUAUUAGCCUUCUAAGGUGGCCCCUAGCAGCUACCCUUGACCCAUGCUCAGCCACUCUAGGAGUCAACUAACUUAAUAACUAAUUGUUACUUGACUAACCAACAUACUAACUGAUUUCUAUCUAACUGGUAACUUGUUAAAUUUAAAAAAAUAACCCACCUUUCUUCUCCCCCCCGCAAUGGGGCCGCCAAAAUGACCUAAAGCAAGGCUGGGCAAGAAUUUUGUUUGGGCGUAGUCCCUUUAAUCCAAGGUAUUAAUUGAUAACUAGCUAAUUGGAACCAAACUCAGCCUAUCCCUCCCCUAAUGUGGGCUGCCGAAUUGGAUAAGGAAAAUUGGCUGAAAUGGUUUUAUUCUUUUGGGCUUAAACAAAACCAUUUUGCAUAUUAUUUGGUUUGUUAGAUUGGGCUAGUAAAAUGGUAGACAUAAGUUUUAGGGUCCUUUACAAUAAUAUACAACAUUUAGAAAGUAAUUACACUAUUAGUGCACUCAUAAAAUAUUUACACAAUUAAUACACUUUUUAUAUUUAUUUACAAUAUUAGUGCAAUUAUGAUUUCUUAAUUUAGGGAAUUAGUAUGCAAUUAGGAUUCAAUUCAUAAUAAUAAGAAAACCUAAAAUCAAGGAGAAAUAACUACCAUAAUUAAUAAUUCAAAUUCAAAUAUCUUGGAUCUAACAACAAAUUCAAAUUUAAAUUCAAAAAUAAUAAUUAAAAUUCAAAUAUUCAAAGUUUGGCAACGUCAUCUUCCUCCUCCCCUUCGCCGUCGCUUCAACACCAUGGACGCCGAUCUCCUCAUCCAUUACGGCCACAGCUGCCAUUGUGACGAAGGUUGAUUUAGUCCAGAAAUUAAAAGAAGAAAAAGAUAAAUUUUAGUGCAGUUGGUAUCCAAAUAUUUAUACAAAGGUAACCAUUUUAGUUUUUGUGGGUAACCAAGAGAAAUUGCAGUGCUGUUGGUAACCAAAACUUUCAAAGGUAACAAUUUUAGUUUUUGUUAGUUACAUUUGGAUUAAGGUUUGGCUACCAACUGCACUAUGAAAAAAAAUCUAUAAUAGAUUUUUUAUAAUUAAUUGGUAACCCAAUAAAACUGAAUUGGUUACAUUUGUAUUAAGGUUUGGCUACCAACUGCAUUAUAAAAAAAAUCUACAAUAGAUUUUUUUAAUUAAUUGGUAACCCAAUAAAACUGAAUUGGUUACAUUUGUAUAAAGUGUUAUCUACCAAUUGCACUAUUAAAUAAAAAAAAAUCUAUAAUAGAUUUUUUAAAAAUAAAUUAAAAACCUAAUAACACUGAAUUGGUUACCUUGGUAUGAAUGUUUGGCUACCAACUGUACUAUAAAAAAAUCGCAGCAACUGUACUAUGAAAAAAUCGCAGGUGGAGGAUGGCGUUAAUGGUGGAGGAGGGCGGAGGAGAAGGGCGUUGAUGGUGGAGGAAGGCGGAGGAUGGGGACUGUCUAGGUUAAUGGUGGAUGAUGGCGUUAAUGGUGGAGGAGGGCGGAGGAGUAGGGUGGAGGAGAAGGGCGUUAAUGGUGGAGGAGGGCGGAUGAUGACGUUAACAAGUUAGGACUGUUAAUGAUGGAGGAGGAGAAGACUGACAAAGGCGAAUGAAGCGUGAUUUUUAUUAAGGAAAUAGAAGGUGUGCUAUAUAAUUUACUUAUUAAUUACUUAAUUUAAUAAGUAAAUCAAUAUUAAUCCCCUAAAUUAAGGAAUCCUAAUUGCAUACUAAUUCCUUAAAUUAAAGAAUCUUAAUUGCACUAAUAUUGUAAAUAAAUAUAAAAGUGUAUUAAUUGUGUAAAUAUUUUAUGAGUGAAUUAUUGUUGUAAUUAUUUUCAGGGCCGACCCUGAGUUUUUAAGGGCCUAAAGCGACAACAAAAAAAUGGGCCUUUUGCGAAUUGCUAUUAAGAUAGGUAUAGAAAAAAAACUAAGAACUUUUCUUGAACAAAAGAGCAUUAAUACGAAAGAAUACAAGUCUACCAUUGAGAUUUGGGCCUAUUUCAUUGGGUAUAUUUUUUGUGGGCCUUUAAAUUUAAACUGACGUGGGCUGAGCUCUUUUGUUUGAGUAUAUAUAUACAUAACACAAAUACCUCUUGGGGGCCCUAAAAAUAUGUCAAUUUUAGUGGGCCUAAAGCCCAAGGCACCUUGGGCUUUAGCCUAGGGCCGGUGCUGAUUAUUUUUAAAAAUAUAAUAGAAUAUGUAAUUGUUCCUAAGUUUUAAUGGCCAAUUAUACCUUUGUAUCAUGGCAAGAAAAUCCUCUAACACCAUAACUAAUGUAACAAGCAUACAAGAAAGAUUUAUUAUGGCCCAAUAUUUAUUAUGGACUCCUUACAAUUCAAUGUACAUGAAAUUUAACUCCCAUCUUUACUUAGGCUAGCAAAAGGAAUUAAUACUCACAUCAUUAAAGAUAAUGGUUCCAUGUAAUUUAAAUAAUUCAUGAUAAUACCUUAUUUCUUUAUUUGCUAUUAAAUAACCCUUUUUAAUUAUAUCUUAAUAUAAUUAAUUCUUUGAACACAUAGAUAGCUUCAUAUGAAGAAUCUUUCUCAAUUAAGCAAUGUCUAUUUUCCUUUUCAUUCUUGAUAUUUAAAUAGGGUUAAAUACAUUUUUGCCCAAUCUACUCAACCUCUAUUUACAAAUGCAUCGCUGGACUAAAUUUUUUUACGGUCAACUUAAUGAAUUAUAAUUUUUUUACAAAAAUUGAAAUUUUUGUCUAAAAGUGUUAAAAGUUAACGGAAAGUCUACAUGGCAACGCUUACGUGUAAUAUAAGACCCACCAUGAACUUUUUUUAAUAAUAAUAACAAAAUAACUUUAGUUUAAAUUUUUUUGAUUUUCAAACUUGACUUCUCUCUUUUUUAAAUAAAAAAUAAUUAAAUUAAUAAAAAAAUAUAUAUUAAUUAAUAAUAAAUAUAUUAAUAUAUAAUUUUUAUAAUUGUAUUUAUAUAAAAUUAAUGAAUACAUAUUAUUUUUUUUAAUUUUUCAAUAUUGAAGUUAACUUUAAAGAUACAAAAUUAUCUACUAUAAUUAAUCAUCUUCUCCACUACAAAUCCAAAUCUGAAUUCAUCAUCUUCUUCAUUACAAAUCCAAAUUUAAAUCUAAUUCCUCAUCUUCUUCACCACAAAUCCAAAUAUAAUUCAUCAUAGUAAUCAGAACUAGCCAAAAUACAAAUACAAUUCAUCAUCUUCUUCAUCACAAAUCCAAAUAAAAAAUAAUUCGAAAUAAAAAAUCUGAAACUAUUUCAUCAUAUUCUUCUUCACCACAACCCAGAUCCAAAAUUCAAAAUAAUUCAAAAUUAAAUCAACCCAGAUUUGUAGUCGAAAUUAUUGGUGAAAUCCAAAUCAACUUCAUCAUCUUCUUUACCACAAACCAGAUCCGUCCAUUGAUGAGCGCGAUUGUUUGAACACCAUUGAUGAACGUGAUUGCUUAAACACCAUUGAUGAACACAAUUACUUUGAAGAAUGGAUUUUUAGAAGAAUGAUUUGAAAAACAGAUCAGAGGGAGGCCUUUUUUAAUUAGGUCUAUUUAGAUAUAGAUCUGAAUUUUGAUUUUCACAUACUUCCGAUUUCUCCACCAGCAUCCAGAUAUUAGAUCUUGAUUGUUUUCUCCUCUGUUUUGAAGAAUGUGGCUUUGUUAUGAGAGACUGGAGGGAAGCCCUCUUUUAAGCUUUAUCUUUCUUAUAUAUAUAUUUUUUACUUUUUCCCUGCUCUAGUUUUUGAGGAUUUUUCAUCCUCCACUCAUCAUUUUUUAAUCUCUUCCUUUCUAAUUAAAACUUCUUUUUUUUCCUGCUAGUUUUUGAGGAUCAUUAAUUCUUUGCUUAUGAUUUUUCUUAAUCUCUUUCUUUUCUAAUAUAAUUUUCUUUUCUAUCCAAAAGAAAUAAUAUGAAAGGAAUUUCGACUUGAUGAGCUAGCCACCAUCUUUUCCUCAUUUAACUUGGUUUAAUGGCUGUAUAAUUUGUUGUAAGAUGUACUUGUUAUAGCUUGUGUAGGAUUUUCCUUAUUAUCAACGUGAAAUUUGAGUUUUGAUAUUUGAAUAAAAAUUUAAAAAAAUAUGAAUUCAUUAAUUUUAUAUAAAUAUAUUUAUAAAAAUUAUACUUUAAUAUAUUUUAUUAUUAAUUAAUUCAAUUAAUAUAUUUUAUUUAAUUACUUUACUUAUUUAUUAAUAUAUUUUUAAUUAAUUUAAUUAUUUGUUAAUAUAUUUAAUUUUUAUUUAAUGAUUUCAUAAUAUAAAUAAUAAUUUUAUUAGUUUUCAAAAAUAAAAAUAAUAAUUAAUUUUUAAAAUUUUAGUUAUAUUUUUGAAGUUUGAAUUUAAUUUUAUAAAUUUUAAUUUUUAAUUUGUGAUUAUUAUAAAAUAAUUAUGAAUAAUGUUAAAGACAUUACUCAAAUUCAAAAUUUAUCCAAAAUUUUCUUAUUUUAAUAAUAUAUGUAAUAUAUCUUAAUACAAUAACAUGUCAGACAUUUAUAUGUUAUAUUACUAAUUUUAGUUUUAUCUGAAGAGAGGUUAAUUAAAUUAAUGAAUUUAAUGGGUUAUUUAAAUUUAAAGAAAAUUAUAUAAUUAUGUGUAAUUUAUAUAGUUUACUUAAAAUUGUACAAAUAUUAAUGAUUAAAAUAAAAUUUUAAAAAUUAUUUUUAUUGUCUUUUAAGUUUGAAUGCAUUAUUUUAUUUUAUUUAUUUGAUUUUGAUUAAUUUAGUAUUAAAUUUAUACAAGUUUCCAUCUAGGCAUGCCACAAAGAAAAAUGUCUGACAUGUAGGAUUUAUCUCUCUCACUUGGCAAUUCGUGUAAUUUUUCAGUCCAAAGUCAAACAAGUUAACAGAAUUUGUAACAGUUUGUAAAAUAAAUUGUAGUUCAGUGAGUCGAAUGAAAAAAAAUUCAGUUCAAUGAUUCAUUUGUAAAUCGAAAUCGAGUAGAGUGAGAAAAAAUAUAUUUAACCCUAUUUAAAUACUUUAUAAUAAUGCAUAUCAUUCUUCCCUUCCCUUACCAUUUAUAAUCUAUGAUACUUAACAAUUAUUAAGUAGUAAAUAUUUAUAAAAUCAAAUCAAAUGUAUAAUUAAAAGAAUUUCUUUAUAGUCAAAAUUUGACAUUAUAAUAACUAAAAAUUACAUAUAAUUUUCUGAGUCAUUACAUCUAGCAUCACUUUAUUAACAAUAAAUUCUUUAAGAGUUAAAUGCACUUGGCAUCUCUCAGUUUACCCUUACUUUAUACCUUUCAUUUCGCACUUUAUAAAUGAACAUUUUACAUCUCACACUUUUAGCGCAUCGAUACAUGACACCCUCUAGGUAAAAAGUUAUUAGCUGGCCCAACGGAGUUAGACUAUUUUAACUCACGUGUUGUUCUCUUAGGGGCAAAGAUUUUAUUAGUGAGAUUAUUUUGCCCUUGAAAAAAUCGCUUGUGGAUUAAAAUAGCCUAACUCUGUCAAUCCAUUUAAUAAUUUUUUGUCCGAAUGAUGUUAUGGGUCAGUGCGCUGAAAUUGCGGGAUGCAAAAUUUGUAUUUAUAAAAUGUGAGAUGCAAGUGCAAAAUAACGGUAAACUAGGAGAUGCAAAGUGCAUUUAACUAAUUAAUAUUUUUUAAGACUAUAUUUAGGAAUGUAAAAUUAUCCCUUAAAAUUAUCACGUUACAAAUGAAUGUGUCUUUAAUUAUAAAAAAAAUUAUUUGUGCAUUUUCUUAACUGAAAAUAUAAACAAACCUCCCUUUUGCUUUCAGCCCAUCCAGUGUAACAACCUGACUCAAAUUAAAGUAUAAUAAGAUAUAUUGUACCUUCUUAAGUCAUUCUAGUCCUCCACUAGCUCACUCAAAUUGUUAUGACUGAAUGUAUUAAUGAUAGUAGUUUGAGUCCUUAUAAAUACAUCACAGUACAAGUUACGAUGUGGUACUGGAAUGUUACAGACUCUCUCAUUUAAAUAUGUCCCCAUUAGGCUGAACAAAUAACCAUACACAUACUAGAAACUUUUUCUCUCUAGCCAUUGUAGGAAAAUACCAACGGCUUACUAGGUCCGCCUUCAUGUCCUUACCUCUGACAACCCGAUUAGAUGACCCGACCUGACCCGAACUUUUGAGAGUCAGCUCAAUUGAAUAGAUGUAUCUAGGGAGAAAUCGAUCAUUUUGGUUGAAGCGACUAUUCUCUAGAUACAAAUAUUUUUUAUAUAUAAAAAGUUGCAUCCAUAAAAUAAAAGAUCUCGCUAAGAUUUCUUUAGAAAAAUCGACUUCAAUUACUCUAGUUAAUCUAGCUAGAAUUUAGGUCAAAUCCUGAAUCCGAAUCGAAUCAUAUCAUAAUAAAACUGAAUACAAUUUUUCAAUAGUGCGUUCUUGGAUCAUAUUAGUCUAUCACAAACUCACCCAAAAAGUUAUGAUUGAUUUUAUUAGUGAUAGUAGUUUGAGUCUUUAUAUACAGAUUUAUACUAACCCACAUGUUAAGAUGUGAAAUUGGGGUGUUACACCCAGCUUGUUAUGUGACGAACGAGACAUUUGUAAUUAAAUUUUAAAUAUUUAUUGAAUUAAAUAAAUAUUUUUUUGAUUUAUUUAUUGAGUUAAAUAAUUAUUUGAUGGAGUUGUGGUAGAUUAAUUUAAUUAAGUGUGUCACAUUAAUUAAAUUAAUGUGGAAUAAUUUUAUAGAUCAAAGUGAGAAUUUAAUUGAGAUAAUUAAAUUAAAUGAGUUGUUAAAUAAUUUUAAUGUUGUUUUAAUUAAUCAAAUAAUUAAUUAGAGAUUUAUUGAUUUGUUAUAAAUAAUAAAUGAGAAUUUUAAUUAUGUGAUGAUGUGAUUUAAUAAGUAAUAUUGCCUUUUAUUUAAUUAAAUUUAAAUAACAUUAUUUGAUUAAUUAAAGUGUGACAAAUAAAUUAUAUAUAAUAAAUGAAUUAAUUUAAAUAAUGGGAAAUGCGCUAUUAUGAACAAGCCAAACAUGGCCUAAGGUACAUAGGAGUAGUUAAGGCCCCGUUGCGGUUAACUUUUGCCCAUGAUUUCACCUGUUAUAUUUUACGUAUAAUAUAACCUUCAUAUUACUUACUCUGGAGAACAAACUCAGAGAGUGAAAAGAAAGAGAAUUGAGAGUCCGUGAGAUUGAAGAAGAAGAGGUUGGAGAAUUAAAGAGUUCCUAUCAUCUUGCCUAAUCAUAACAGAGAAAUCAAGGGUAAUCCCUUAAUCUCAAGGUUUUAAAUUACGUUCUUAAAAGUCCUUCAUGAAAUCAAUUUUAACUUCCUGUGUUUGAAUUUUUAUGAAUGAUUGUUCAAUAUAUGAUGUUAUAUAUGUUUAUAACAUGUUUUACAUGACUUGUAUGUGAUUUAGAAUAAUCAAAUCCAUGAAUCAUGCUUAAAAUCUGAGUUUUGAGUUUAUAGUGAAAAUAUUAUUUUAGUUCUCUGUAAUUGAAUUUUUAUGGUCAAAUUGUUGAGAAGCUGUUUUUAAUUGUUAAAAUACAUGUAUAAUAUGAUAUUUGAUGUUUAUAAAUGAUUUUAGAGUAAUUAAUCCAUGAAAUUAAGAUUAAGUUGAAAUAUUGAAGGUUACAGAAAAAUAAUGUUUGAACGUGGCCCAUAAGUACAAAAAUCGGUGCCUUAAUUGUACGUUAAAUGAUAAAUUGAUAAUUGAUUAUGUAAAUAUGUAAAAACGAAAAGAACAAUACUUGUAUGGAUUGAUUUGGUUGGGAAAAAAAAUUCGUAGUGGUCGAUUUCGUUAAGAAUGUCAAAAAUGGAGUUUUUCACAAAAAUAUUGAAAUUAUGGAUUUAAAUUUUGUUAUUUAUGUGACUUAAGAUGUUAAAAGUAUGCUAGGAAUAUCAUUAAAUAUUUCUGUUAAGUUCAGAACAUAUGGGUGAAACUGAAUUCGUUGUUUGUGUGAAAUUUUGGCCUAAAUUGGCCCUGUUCUGUGUUCUUCGCAAACUGCAGAAACUGAAUUUGGAUAACCCCGCCCCGACGGGCAUUACCAAGCUAAAUUACCCCGUCCCGGAGGACAAAAUAAAAUAAAAUAUUUAUCCAAUAAAAUAAAUAUUUUAGUUGAAAUAUUUAUGGAAUAAAUUAUUCGAUGAAAAUUAUUAUGGAAUAAUUUAUUCGAGUGUAAUAAUAGUGAGGGAAUGAAAAUAUUCUAAUUUAAUUAAGUAAUUAAAUUAGAAGUGUAAUGAUUUGUUAAAUAAAGUGGAGUUUAUAUUAAAUAAUUAAGUGAAAGUGUGACUAAUGGACCAUAUAAUAAGAGAAUUAUAAAAAUAAAUUAGAAAAUGUCUUGUGACCUUAUAACUACUAUGUUUUGUAACUGGUUAAACCACGUUUAAAAAAAGUGAUGUCCAUGAGAUGAUAUGAUGUUGUUUAAACUUAAGAUUUGAGAUUUUAGUCCUGUAUAUGUGAAUGAUGGUAAUGGGCAGAAUUUAAACUAAGUUAACAAAUUGUAUUAAAAGAGGGAACUAAACAUAUAAGGUUAGUAUUAAUGUAACUAAUGAAUGUCAUGAAUACAUAUGGUAUGUGUGUAGGACUUGUGGUGAUCGUGAGUAGUAAUCGUUUAACCUACGCACGAGAAAAGUUUCCAAACCCUAUUCUUACAUUGAGCAAGUUCUUAAAUCUUAUUAUUAUUGAGCAAGCUUCGUAUUCUUAUUUCGAACUGUUCAAAGCUUAAUUAUUCAAGUUUAUGAUUCCAAAUGAAAUGUUCUAAUUCUUUUGAAGUAUUACUUAUAUUGUACAAAGUCCAUUCAAUUGUGUAGAAUUGAGAUCCAAUCAGUCAAUUAGAUAGAGUUGAGAUUCAAUCUUUGAUUUGAUUAUUGAUUUCGAUAUUACAUUAAAACCAUGAAUAGAUAGUGAUUCCUUAUUGAUUCAACUAAUCCUUAGUUGAUGAUUAUUAAACUCUAAAUUACCCUUGAAGCUAAUCCAAAAUAAACUUCCUUUGGUGCGUACUCUAAUGCCAAAGCUGAGAUGAGCAACCAUGUUAUGGGGGAUUAUAUUAUUCGAUAGCGUUAAGAUGUUGUGCACAUACAUGGUACUAAGGGUUUAUCCCCCUAAGUAAGUAAGGUCCAUAUAGUCUUACGACUGUUAAAUGUUUUAAAGUAGAAAUACUUAAUAACCUAGGACAUAGUUCAUGGUCUUGUGACCCUCAGAUGUACUUUUGAUUCUUGUUCUAAUCUUGAUUCAAAAGCCGAGCUUUCUUUUGUUCAGUAUCCAUUGAUUAUUCGCAUGUUAUUAUUAUUACUAUUGUUAAACUUGUGGACAAUUGUUGUUCACUCUUGCAUAAUAACAUUGCAGCUAAGAUUUAGAAAGUUGAUGAGCCAUCCACAAGUAAGGACAAGGGUAAAACAAACAAAUGAUGAAGACUUAUUUAGUAUUUGAGAAUGAUUAUGUUAAGACUUAUUAUGUGAUGUUUAAGACUUAUUUGUUUAUGAUGCUCCACAUUUGAUGUAUUAAGAUUAGAUAAACUGUGAUUUAUUUGUGUAAGUUGUUGUAAUCCUUUAAUGGGAGGAUUUUUAUUUAAAUUUUAUUGUUAUCUUUAUUAUGGGUAGAUAGAUG
Molecule: long non-coding RNA, 12499 nt
Filed under: Panax ginseng (ginseng)
Lineage: Eukaryota; Viridiplantae; Streptophyta; Magnoliopsida; Apiales; Araliaceae
Description: long non-coding RNA (PGIN_LNC018814)
Source: RNAcentral